GACGAACGCUGGCGGCGUGCCUAAUACAUGCAAGUCGAACGAACUCUGGUAUUGAUUGGUGCUUGCAUCAUGAUUUACAUUUGAGUGAGUGGCGAACUGGUGAGUAACACGUGGGAAACCUGCCCAGAAGCGGGGGAUAACACCUGGAAACAGAUGCUAAUACCGCAUAACAACUUGGACCGCAUGGUCCGAGUUUGAAAGAUGGCUUCGGCUAUCACUUUUGGAUGGUCCCGCGGCGUAUUAGCUAGAUGGUGAGGUAACGGCUCACCAUGGCAAUGAUACGUAGCCGACCUGAGAGGGUAAUCGGCCACAUUGGGACUGAGACACGGCCCAAACUCCUACGGGAGGCAGCAGUAGGGAAUCUUCCACAAUGGACGAAAGUCUGAUGGAGCAACGCCGCGUGAGUGAAGAAGGGUUUCGGCUCGUAAAACUCUGUUGUUAAAGAAGAACAUAUCUGAGAGUAACUGUUCAGGUAUUGACGGUAUUUAACCAGAAAGCCACGGCUAACUACGUGCCAGCAGCCGCGGUAAUACGUAGGUGGCAAGCGUUGUCCGGAUUUAUUGGGCGUAAAGCGAGCGCAGGCGGUUUUUUAAGUCUGAUGUGAAAGCCUUCGGCUCAACCGAAGAAGUGCAUCGGAAACUGGGAAACUUGAGUGCAGAAGAGGACAGUGGAACUCCAUGUGUAGCGGUGAAAUGCGUAGAUAUAUGGAAGAACACCAGUGGCGAAGGCGGCUGUCUGGUCUGUAACUGACGCUGAGGCUCGAAAGUAUGGGUAGCAAACAGGAUUAGAUACCCUGGUAGUCCAUACCGUAAACGAUGAAUGCUAAGUGUUGGAGGGUUUCCGCCCUUCAGUGCUGCGGCUAACGCAUUAAGCAUUCCGCCUGGGGAGUACGGCCGCAAGGCUGAAACUCAAAGGAAUUGACGGGGGCCCGCACAAGCGGUGGAGCAUGUGGUUUAAUUCGAAGCUACGCGAAGAACCUUACCAGGUCUUGACAUACUAUGCAAAUCUAAGAGAUUAGACGUUCCCUUCGGGGACAUGGAUACAGGUGGUGCAUGGUUGUCGUCAGCUCGUGUCGUGAGAUGUUGGGUUAAGUCCCGCAACGAGCGCAACCCUUAUUAUCAGUUGCCAGCAUUAAGUUGGGCACUCUGGUGAGACUGCCGGUGACAAACCGGAGGAAGGUGGGGAUGACGUCAAAUCAUCAUGCCCCUUAUGACCUGGGCUACACACGUGCUACAAUGGAUGGUACAACGAGUUGCGAACUCGCGAGAGUAAGCUAAUCUCUUAAAGCCAUUCUCAGUUCGGAUUGUAGGCUGCAACUCGCCUACAUGAAGUCGGAAUCGCUAGUAAUCGCGGAUCAGCAUGCCGCGGUGAAUACGUUCCCGGGCCUUGUACACACCGCCCGUCACACCAUGAGAGUUUGUAACACCCAAAGUCGGUGGGGUAACCUUUUAGGAACCAGCCGCCUAAGGUGGGACAGAUGAUUAGGGUGAAG
This 1492-nucleotide ribosomal RNA is filed under the name Lactiplantibacillus pentosus. RNAcentral describes it as "bacterial SSU rRNA". It matches the Rfam family "Bacterial small subunit ribosomal RNA". Lineage: Bacteria; Bacillati; Bacillota; Bacilli; Lactobacillales; Lactobacillaceae. The record is from RNAcentral.